Molecule: long non-coding RNA, 287 nt
Filed under: Brassica napus (rape)
Lineage: Eukaryota; Viridiplantae; Streptophyta; Magnoliopsida; Brassicales; Brassicaceae
Description: long non-coding RNA (BNAP_LNC013725)
Source: RNAcentral
AUUUCUCCGACUGAUCUAUCAACUCGUUGAAAUCUCUCAUUAAGAUCCAUGCCCCUUUCCUGGUUGCUCCUAUUCGAGAGAUUCUUUCCCAUACCUCCCCUCUCUUACUCUUCACUGGAUCUCCAUAAACACAUGUAAGGUAGAACGUAUGGUUCUGCCAUUCUACCUUUAGAUCGAUCACCCUGUUAUUGGCUUGAAGGGUUUCCACUCUACACGCCUCCUUCCACAUAACAGCAAGUCCUCCACUCUUCCCCCUGGCGUCUAUAGAAACUAUAUCAUGAAAGCCC